This 887-nucleotide long non-coding RNA is filed under the name Marmota monax (woodchuck). Lineage: Eukaryota; Metazoa; Chordata; Mammalia; Rodentia; Sciuridae. The record is from RNAcentral.
GGCGUCAUGUCCAAGUUAGUAAUGGACUCAACCAUGCUUACCGUGAAGGGAGCUUGGGGACCAUAGGUUGUUACAGCCUCCUUUAACUGCUUCACUGUUUUAAAAUCUAAAGCAUGGUGAAUUCGCUGCCCUCCUGCCUGUUCAAGUACAGGGCAUGCUAAUCUUUGAGGUCCUGUCUCAGGAUCCCAUUUAUCAACUACGGGGUUUGAGGGCCACUCAGCUGUCUCCAUCGGUGGGGCUGUUGGUUGAAUUACGCCCUCUUGUGAUAAAACGGAGUUAGUAACAGCCUCCUGUUGUGGCCUUUUUCCUAACAACCCCUUUUCCUUUAAAUUUUCUUCCUCUGUCUGACUAGCUCGAGAGACCUUCUCUUUUGCUUGAUCUAAAAUGUCUUUCUCCAUGGUCUGAACCUCUAACAAUUUACUUAACAUCUUUUCGGUUUGUUUUUUACUAAUUUCUAAUCUACUAUAAAGAUAACGCAACCCAAUAAGAUAGCACAAAACAAAGCCGAAACUGAAUGAAACAAAAACGGAAUAAAAAAUCGUUGUAUCAAUUUUCUCUUCCUCAGGGCCGACAAACUUCAAACCUUUAGUCAACCAUUUUUUCCAGUUUGCCUGAGAAAUUUCUAGGGAUAGGCAGCUUGAAACAAAAACAAGAUAAAUCAAAACAAUAACACAUUGUUUUUUGAAAUGUUCACCCAUUCUUUCUCUCUUCCUCAAGGGUGAGAAAUUUCACUUACCUCUAAGCUUCAGAAGUUCCCCGCACGGGCCGCCAAAUGCCGCAGUCUGGCUGGGCACAAAUGCCGCAGUCUGGCUGGGCACACAAUCACGAGCCACCACACAGCUUGUAGAUUCAAACAGCAACUCUUUAUUCCCGAACUCACACCAGCC